UACGGGGGGGGCAAGCGUUGUUCGGAAUUACUGGGCGUAAAGGGCUCGUAGGUGGCCAACUAAGUCAGACGUGAAAUCCCUCAGCUUAACUGGGGAACUGCGUCUGAUACUGGAUGGCUUGAGUUUGGGAGAGGGAUGCGGAAUUCCAGGUGUAGCGGUGAAAUGCGUAGAUAUCAGGAGGAACACCCGUGGCGAAAGCGGCUCUCUGGGACGGUACUGACGCUGAGACGCGAAAGCGUGGGGAGCAAACAGG
RNAcentral lists this ribosomal RNA (253 nucleotides) under uncultured bacterium. RNAcentral describes it as "partial 16S ribosomal RNA". It matches the Rfam family "Bacterial small subunit ribosomal RNA", at positions 524 to 776 of the family's 1533-position model. The record is from RNAcentral.